Molecule: long non-coding RNA, 254 nt
Filed under: Mytilus galloprovincialis (Mediterranean mussel)
Lineage: Eukaryota; Metazoa; Mollusca; Bivalvia; Mytilida; Mytilidae
Source: RNAcentral
GUCUUAACACACUCUCUAAACAUGUUAUCAUCUUAAAAUAAAUGGAUGAAACAAAUGAAAACAAAAAAGAAAGAAAAAAAUGUGUAUGCGUCCGAAAGUUAACCUCUAUGAGAAUUGUACACAGCCGAAUAUUUGAAAGUCAAGGAUGUAAAAGAAAAACAUAUAAUACCAAAAAUACCAAACUCCGUUGAAAUUCUAAACCGAAUGUCCCUCAUCAAAUGACAAAAGCAAAAGCUAAAACACAUUUAACGAAU